RNAcentral lists this ribosomal RNA (253 nucleotides) under uncultured bacterium. RNAcentral's name for it is "partial 16S ribosomal RNA". It matches the Rfam family "Bacterial small subunit ribosomal RNA", at positions 524 to 776 of the family's 1533-position model. The record is from RNAcentral.
UACGUAGGGUGCGAGCGUUGUCCGGAAUUACUGGGCGUAAAGAGCUCGUAGGUGGUUUGUCGCGUUGUCCGUGAAAACUCACAACUCAAUUGUGGGCGUGCGGGCGAUACGGGCAGACUGGAGUACUGCAGGGGAGACUGGAAUUCCUGGUGUAGCGGUGGAAUGCGCAGAUAUCAGGAGGAACACCGGUGGCGAAGGCGGGUCUCUGGGCAGUAACUGACGCUGAGGCACGAAGGCCAGGGGAGCAAACGGG